CCUACGGGUGGCAGCAGUGAGGAAUAUUGGUCAAUGGACGGAAGUCUGAACCAGCCAUGCCGCGUGCAGGAAGACGGCCCUAUGAGUUGUAAACUUCUUUUGUACAAGGGUAAACCUGAAUACGUGUAUUCAGCUGAAAGUACUGUACGAAUAAGGAUCGGCUAACUCCGUGCCAGCAGCCGCGGUAAUACGGAGGAUCCAAGCGUUAUCCGGAUUUAUUGGGUUUAAAGGGUGCGUAGGCGGAUUGAUAAAUUAGAGGUGAAAUGUCCGAGCUUAACUCGGGAACUGCCUCUAAUACUGGUGAUCUGGAGAGUGGGUGAGGUACGCGGAAUGUAUGGUGUAGCGGUGAAAUGCUUAGAGAUCAUACAGAACACCGAUUGCGAAGGCAGCUUACCAACCUAUAUCUGACGUUGAGGCACGAAAGCGUGGGGAGCGAACAGGAUUAGAUACCCCGGUAGUC
RNAcentral lists this ribosomal RNA (460 nucleotides) under uncultured bacterium. RNAcentral describes it as "partial 16S ribosomal RNA". It matches the Rfam family "Bacterial small subunit ribosomal RNA", at positions 338 to 795 of the family's 1533-position model. The record is from RNAcentral.